CUCAGGCCAUGCAUCCAUUCAACCUGCUUCAAGCAUGUCUAUUUCUUACCUUUCUUAGGCAAGGAAAGUUCUCGAGGAGGCCAAAGAAGACGCUUUGCUACAUCACGCUGCUUGUAAUUUUAAGAAAAUCCCUGGUAAAAUGUAUCACUUAUAUCGUCGUAACACUGGCACAUCUUAUUUCUCAAUGAUUUCACCUGAGGUAU
Non-coding RNA from Paramuricea clavata, 203 nucleotides. The record is from the annotation of a GenBank genome assembly. Lineage: Eukaryota; Metazoa; Cnidaria; Anthozoa; Malacalcyonacea; Plexauridae.